This 800-nucleotide ribosomal RNA is filed under the name Pseudarthrobacter phenanthrenivorans. Its description in RNAcentral is "bacterial SSU rRNA". It matches the Rfam family "Bacterial small subunit ribosomal RNA", at positions 694 to 1487 of the family's 1533-position model. The record is from RNAcentral. Lineage: Bacteria; Bacillati; Actinomycetota; Actinomycetes; Micrococcales; Micrococcaceae.
AUAUCAGGAGGAACACCGAUGGCGAAGGCAGGUCUCUGGGCAUUAACUGACGCUGAGGAGCGAAAGCAUGGGGAGCGAACAGGAUUAGAUACCCUGGUAGUCCAUGCCGUAAACGUUGGGCACUAGGUGUGGGGGACAUUCCACGUUUUCCGCGCCGUAGCUAACGCAUUAAGUGCCCCGCCUGGGGAGUACGGCCGCAAGGCUAAAACUCAAAGGAAUUGACGGGGGCCCGCACAAGCGGCGGAGCAUGCGGAUUAAUUCGAUGCAACGCGAAGAACCUUACCAAGGCUUGACAUGGGCCAGACCGCCGCAGAAAUGUGGUUUCCCCUUUGGGGCUGGUUCACAGGUGGUGCAUGGUUGUCGUCAGCUCGUGUCGUGAGAUGUUGGGUUAAGUCCCGCAACGAGCGCAACCCUCGUUCUAUGUUGCCAGCACGUGAUGGUGGGGACUCAUAGGAGACUGCCGGGGUCAACUCGGAGGAAGGUGGGGACGACGUCAAAUCAUCAUGCCCCUUAUGUCUUGGGCUUCACGCAUGCUACAAUGGCCGGUACAAAGGGUUGCGAUACUGUGAGGUGGAGCUAAUCCCAAAAAGCCGGUCUCAGUUCGGAUUGGGGUCUGCAACUCGACCCCAUGAAGUCGGAGUCGCUAGUAAUCGCAGAUCAGCAACGCUGCGGUGAAUACGUUCCCGGGCCUUGUACACACCGCCCGUCAAGUCACGAAAGUUGGUAACACCCGAAGCCGGUGGCCUAACCCCUUGUGGGAGGGAGCUGUCGAAGGUGGGACUGGCGAUUGGGACUAAGUC